This 497-nucleotide ribosomal RNA is filed under the name uncultured bacterium. RNAcentral describes it as "partial 16S ribosomal RNA". It matches the Rfam family "Bacterial small subunit ribosomal RNA", at positions 28 to 507 of the family's 1533-position model. The record is from RNAcentral.
GAUGAACGCUGGCGGCGUGCCUAAUACAUGCAAGUCGAACGCAUAGCGAAAGGUGCUUGCACCUUUCAAGUGAGUGGCGAACGGGUGAUUAACACGUGGACAACCUGCCUCAAGGCUGGGGUUAACAUUUGGAAACAGAUGCUAAUACCGAAUAAAACUUAGUGUCGCAUGACCCAAAGUUAAAAGGCGCUUCGGCGUCACCUAGAGAUGGAUCCGCGCUGCAUUAGUUAGUUGGUGGGGUAAAGGCCUACCAAGACAAUGAUGCAUAGCCGAGUUGAGAGACUGAUCGGCCACAUUGGGACUGAGACACGGCCCAAACUCCUACGGGAGGCAGCAGUAGGGAAUCUUCCACAAUGGGCGAAAGCCUGAUGGAGCAACGCCGCGUGUGUGAUGAAGGCUUUCGGGUCGUAAAGCACUGUUGUAUGGGAAGAACAGCUAGGAAAGGAAAUGAGUAUAGUUUGACGGUACCAAACCAGAAAGCGACGGCUAAAUACGUG